GGUUUCAUUAUGUAAAGCUCACUAUGAAGACCUGCCUGACCUGGAAGUGGCACAGAGCUUUCUGCCUUUGGUUCCCAAGUGCUGGGUGUGAAGUUCUGCUGUAUUUAAAGCUGGCUGCGGGACCAGGCGGGACAGAAACUUCCAUCUACAGUGAGUUGCCAUAUGUGUGCUGUGAAUCCAACCUGGGUCCUCUUAACUGGAACCCUUCCAUGGAGCUUGUCCCCAGCCACCUCUGUUUUCCCACAAUUUCCACAGCACAGGCAGUUCUACAAACUUCCGAUCUUUGCCAAAUUGGAAAAAUGGAAGAAGCCACUCCCUCUUCCUGUCAUUCAACAUUUCUUUGGCUCCGGGAUUCCAGAAGUCUGGGCUAGGGAGAUAGCCCGUCCUUCCGUUAGAAGAUAAAAGACUCUGAGGCAGUCUGUCCUACCCUAAGCCGUGGAGCCAUGAGCAGAACCAAUAUGUGGAUACUGGUGUGUCUGGCAGGAAUGGAUAUCAUCUCCAUGGCAACUCCAAGCGUCAAGACUCCUGACUAUGCAGUCGGGGCAGUGAUAAAGGAGCUGAUCCUUGCUGAGUCACCUUCCACACCUACCCUACUCUCUGGACUCCGGCUUCACAUAUUUUGUUCUCACCCUUGAACCUGCCAAGCUCCCCCUGCCUUAGCGCCUCUGCCCUGUGGUCCUAUCUUUCUAGACC
This 693-nucleotide long non-coding RNA is filed under the name Cricetulus griseus (Chinese hamster). RNAcentral describes it as "lncRNA (ENSCGRG00015042559.1)". The record is from RNAcentral. Lineage: Eukaryota; Metazoa; Chordata; Mammalia; Rodentia; Cricetidae.